Tribolium castaneum (red flour beetle) is the source of this 835-nucleotide long non-coding RNA. RefSeq lists it as uncharacterized. The record is from RefSeq and is a predicted model, not a curated record. NCBI's taxonomy places the organism in Eukaryota, Metazoa, Arthropoda, Insecta, Coleoptera, Tenebrionidae. The transcript has 2 exons.
UUAAAAAAUAAGUCAAUAGGAUAUCAGCCCAAAAAGUCUAAAACAUUCCUCCGAGAAGACAUUUACAAAUUUUUGAUGCAAGCUCCGGACCAUAAUUAUCUUAUGCAAAAGGUUGCUUUAAUAUUUGGAAUUGCCGGCGCUCUGCGGAGGGAAGAAUGAUAUAAAAUGAAGUGUGAAGAUGUGAACGACACUGGUAACGUUUUAAUUAUCACGGCACCCGACACUAAAAUACAUAUUGAACGAAGAUUCACAGUUAUUGGAGAAACACCCAAACAUAAUUUAAACUUGAUAGACAUUUAUAAAAAAUACAAAAAUCAACGACCGACAAAUGUUAAAACCGAUCACUUCUUUUUGCAAUAUAGACAGGGAAAGUGCAAAACACAAGUCGUAGGAAUAAACACCUUUUCAAAAAUUUCUUCACAAAUCGCAACUUAUUUAAAUUUACCGGAUCCAUCAAGCUACACUGGACAUGCAUUUCGUCGCUCUUCGGCGUCUCUUUUGGUAGAUUCUGGUGGCGAUUUAAUGCAGUUGAAGAAACACGGUGGAUGGAAAUCCAGCACAGUUGCCGAAGGUUACGUGGACGAAUCAAUCCAAACUAAAAUGGAUUCGGCAACAAAAAUUUUGGCAGGAACUAGUUCCACACCGACUGCAAGCGACUUGUCCACAAGUGUCUACAAUCCUACAGUUAAUUCUACUACGCACAAGUAGGAAAUAAGACUACAAAUGUAGACGAAGUAAAUUCUUUGAGCAAAUCAAUCGUUUGCUCUUCUCUACAAAUCAAUAACGCUCAAAGUUGCACUUUCCAUAUUUCAAUUAAUAAAGACAUUUGAAUUAA